CGAGGAAGACUAGUGUUAUUCAUCUUUAAUAGGUUUAAAGGGUACCUAGACGGUACUUUUAGCCCAAAACAGGGUACGGAUUUACUAGAGUUUUAUGUGAGAAGGGGAGUACCCAUGGAGUAGAGAUUGAAAAUUUUUUAAUACUAUGGGGUAACGUAGGUAGAGGCGAAAGACAACCUUACUAUGUAUAAAACUGACGUUGAGGGACGAAGGCCCGGGUAGCAAACAGGAUU
Molecule: ribosomal RNA, 233 nt
Filed under: uncultured bacterium
Lineage: Bacteria
Description: partial 16S ribosomal RNA
Rfam family: Bacterial small subunit ribosomal RNA
Source: RNAcentral